Long non-coding RNA from Pieris rapae (cabbage white), 811 nucleotides. RefSeq lists it as uncharacterized. The record is from RefSeq and is a predicted model, not a curated record. NCBI's taxonomy places the organism in Eukaryota, Metazoa, Arthropoda, Insecta, Lepidoptera, Pieridae. The transcript is spliced from 2 exons.
AAUAUUACUUUCGUCACUUUUUUUGGAAAUUAUUCAUUAGAUAUACAAUGCAGUGAAACAUUCAUUGCUAUAGAAAUUUGGAAUUAUCUAAAGAGUUCUCACAUGCUGUCAUUUAAUGAAAAUCAUUGGUCAAUCAUUAUCUUCACUGAAUCUUUGAAUUAUCUAUGAAUAUUACGUAAUAAAUUAUUUCUCAUACACCGUUUUUGGAAUAGAUUUCAUUAUCAAGGCGUGAUAAACAUGUACAUAUUCCGAAAACAAAUAUUUUUAGAACUGAUAUCAGAGUUUUUUCUUAAAAUAUAAUAUUUUUAAUAUAUAUCUGAUAACGAUCAUAAUCCGAUAAGUAUUCAAUAUAAAUGUUGCCGCUUUGUAAAUAUCAUCAGUUACAAAUUGAAGAACUAUCGAUUUAACGUCGUUUGCGACCAAGAGUUUAAUUAGUAUCAAUCGCUUUACAAUCACUAACCUACAUAAAUACAAUGAACCGUCCAAACAAUAUGCCCGGAGCUUUCACCGUCCAAGGAUACUCUAUCGCACCAAACCCCUGCUUUGGACCAAGCAGAUGCUCAGUCAACCCACAUUUUGGGGUACCUGCCAAUCCAUCACCACACUACAACACUUGCUUCGUCUCUGCAUCCUCGCUUAGGAAAACUUACCCACAGAUGACUCAACCUAGAAAUAAUAAUUAUUUUAAGUGAUUUACUUCGAUAAAAGCUCUGUUGAAUCUCGAUUUUUGGAAUAUAUUAGGUAUAUAAAAACAUAAGUAUGUUAAGUGUUGACUAAUUUCUAAGAUACAUAAUAAACCUAUUAACUCUUA